RNAcentral lists this ribosomal RNA (440 nucleotides) under uncultured bacterium. RNAcentral's name for it is "partial 16S ribosomal RNA". It matches the Rfam family "Bacterial small subunit ribosomal RNA", at positions 338 to 795 of the family's 1533-position model. The record is from RNAcentral.
CCUACGGGUGGCAGCAGUGGGGAAUAUUGGACAAUGGGGGAAACCCUGAUCCAGCGACGCCGCGUGGGGGAAGAAGUAUUUCGGUACGUAAAGCUCUAUCAGCAGGAAAGAAAAUGACGGUACCUAACUAAGAAGCACCGGCUAACUCCGUGCCAGCAGCCGCGGUAAUACGUAGGGGGCAAGCGUUAUCCGGAUUUACUGGGUGUAAAGGGAGCGUAGACGGGAGGGCAAGUCUGAAGUGAAAUGCCAGGGCCUAACCCUGGAACUGCUUUGGAAACUGUUAAGCUGGAGUGCAGGAGAGGUAAGUGGAAUUCUUGGUGUAGCGGUGAAAUGCGUAGAUAUCAGGAGGAAUACUGGUUGCGAAGGCGGCCUACUGGACUGUAACUGACGCUGAGGCGCGAAGGCGUGGGGAGCAAACAGGAUUAGAUACCCCUGUAGUC